Molecule: non-coding RNA, 222 nt
Filed under: Angiostrongylus costaricensis
Lineage: Eukaryota; Metazoa; Nematoda; Chromadorea; Rhabditida; Metastrongylidae
Description: Eukaryotic small subunit ribosomal RNA
Rfam family: Eukaryotic small subunit ribosomal RNA
Source: Rfam by way of RNAcentral
CAAUAGCAACAUGCAAUAAAUUAUGGAUGUCUCGAUUUGGUGGUUGGUGGGGCACGGCCGUUCUUAGUUGGUGGAACGAUUUGUCUGGUUUAUUCCGACAACGAGCAAGACUCUAGUCUGCUGAACAGUGACUAGAUUCUCGUGUCUAGUCUACUUCUUGGAGCUAUGAGCAGUGUUUAGCUGCACGAGAUUGAGCGAUAAUAGGUCCAUAUCAGUCCCUCU